AAUGAACGCUGGCGGCAUGCCUAACACAUGCAAGUCGAACGAAGGCUUCGGCCUUAGUGGCGCAUGGGUGCGUAACGCGUGGGAAUCUGCCCUUGGGUUCGGAAUAACAGUUAGAUAUGACUGCUAAUACCGGAUGAUGUCGUAAGACCAAAGAUUUAUCGCCCAAGGAUGAGCCCGCGUAGGAUUAGCUAGUUGGUGGGGUAAAGGCCUACCAAGGCGACGAUCCUUAGCUGGUCUGAGAGGAUGAUCAGCCACACUGGGACUGAGACACGGCCCAGACUCCUACGGGAGGCAGCAGUGGGGAAUAUUGGACAAUGGGCGAAAGCCUGAUCCAGCAAUGCCGCGUGAGUGAUGAAGGCCUUAGGGUUGUAAAGCUCUUUUACCCGGGAUGAUAAUGACAGUACCGGGAGAAUAAGCUCCGGCUAACUUCGUG
This 433-nucleotide ribosomal RNA is filed under the name uncultured bacterium. Its description in RNAcentral is "partial 16S ribosomal RNA". It matches the Rfam family "Bacterial small subunit ribosomal RNA", at positions 29 to 507 of the family's 1533-position model. The record is from RNAcentral.